RNAcentral lists this ribosomal RNA (1492 nucleotides) under metagenome. Its description in RNAcentral is "bacterial SSU rRNA". It matches the Rfam family "Bacterial small subunit ribosomal RNA". The record is from RNAcentral.
AGAGUUUGAUCAUGGCUCAGAUUGAACGCUGGCGGUAUGCUUAACACAUGCAAGUCGAACGGUAGCAGGCCUUCGGGCGCUGACGAGUGGCGGACGGGUGAGUAACGCGUAGGAAUCUGCCUUUUAGUGGGGGACAACUUAUGGAAACGUAAGCUAAUACCGCAUACGCCCCAAGGGGGAAAGCGGGGGACCUUCGGGCCUCGCGCUAAAAGAUGAGCCUGCGUUGGAUUAGCUAGUUGGCGGGGUAAGGGCCCACCAAGGCGACGAUCCAUAGCUGGUCUGAGAGGACGAUCAGCCACACUGGACUGAGACACGGCCCAGACUCCUACGGGAGGCAGCAGUGGGGAAUAUUGGACAAUGGGCGGAAGCCUGAUCCAGCAAUACCGCGUGUGUGAAGAAGGCCUGAGGGUUGUAAAGCACUUUCAAUGGGGAGGAAAACCUGUCGGCGAACACCCGGCAGACUGACAUUACCCAUACAAGAAGCACCGGCUAACUCCGUGCCAGCAGCCGCGGUAAUACGGAGGGUGCGAGCGUUAAUCGGAAUUACUGGGCGUAAAGCGUGCGUAGGCGGCUCGUUAAGCCGGAUGUGAAAGCCCUGGGCUCAACCUGGGAACUGCAUUCGGGACUGGCGGGCUAGAGUUUGGUAGAGGGGAGUGGAAUUUCAGGUGUAGCGGUGAAAUGCGUAGAGAUCUGAAGGAACACCAGUGGCGAAGGCGACUCCCUGGACCAGAACUGACGCUGAGGUACGAAAGCGUGGGUAGCAAACAGGAUUAGAUACCCUGGUAGUCCACGCCGUAAACGAUGUCAACUAGCCGUUGGCCCUAUUCGUAGGGUUAGUGGCGCAGCUAACGCAUUAAGUUGACCGCCUGGGGAGUACGGCCGCAAGGUUAAAACUCAAAUGAAUUGACGGGGGCCCGCACAAGCGGUGGAGCAUGUGGUUUAAUUCGAUGCAACGCGAAGAACCUUACCUACCCUUGACAUCCAGAGAAUCUGUUAGAGAUAGCGGAGUGCCUUCGGGAACUCUGAGACAGGUGCUGCAUGGCUGUCGUCAGCUCGUGUCGUGAGAUGUUGGGUUAAGUCCCGUAACGAGCGCAACCCUUGCCCUUAGUUGCCAGCGGGUCAUGCCGGGAACUCUAGGGGGACUGCCGGUGAUAAACCGGAGGAAGGUGGGGACGACGUCAAGUCAUCAUGGCCCUUAUGGGUAGGGCUACACACGUGCUACAAUGGCCGGUACAGAGGGCCGCGAAGCUGCGAGGCCAAGCAAAUCCCAGAAAGCCGGUCCUAGUCCGGAUUGCAGUCUGCAACUCGACUGCAUGAAGUCGGAAUCGCUAGUAAUCGCGAAUCAGAAUGUCGCGGUGAAUACGUUCCCGGGCCUUGUACACACCGCCCGUCACACCAUGGGAGUGGGUUGCAAAAGAAGUGGGUAGUCUAACCUUCGGGGGGGCGCUCACCACUUUGUGGUUCAUGACUGGGGUGAAGUCGUAACAAGGUA